AUGGCAACGCAGGGCGACUCAAUGAGCUCAAUGAUGGAGGCGGAAGACCGGGUAGUUUGGUGCUCCUUUUUGCACUGCCAGUGCCAUGAUUUCACCUCGUGGAGCUCCCGAGGAUCAGUGCAAAGGAAUGAUGAUGGAUGGUGUUGUAACUAUCAGGCCGAUUAUAUACACCGUGUUUUUGUUUAUCCCCGUUGGGCUCCGCGCUGCACAGUUGCUUACCAUGUUGUUGUCGUUGUUUUGCGCUUAGUGCUUUUUAAUAGUGUUUGUGUUUACCUAGGCACAUAUUACGAGAUCACUAAUCGAGGGCACCCUUUGCAAUGA
This 321-nucleotide ribosomal RNA is filed under the name Triticum aestivum (bread wheat). RNAcentral's name for it is "partial small subunit ribosomal RNA". Lineage: Eukaryota; Viridiplantae; Streptophyta; Magnoliopsida; Poales; Poaceae. The record is from RNAcentral.